Molecule: long non-coding RNA, 486 nt
Organism: Populus nigra (black poplar)
Lineage: Eukaryota; Viridiplantae; Streptophyta; Magnoliopsida; Malpighiales; Salicaceae
Exons: 2
Source: RefSeq, a predicted model, not a curated record
UUUCACACUCAAAGCAAAUUGGGGAAAGAAACAUCCACAAGUUGUCGUGUACUCCUGUAUGCUCGUAUCAGAUCUGUCAUACAUAUACAAAACCUUCAUCACAGGAAAAAUUCCUUCCAAGGACGGAUAGAACAAGAGUUGAUUGUCUCUUCCCAUUGGCCUCAUUUUAAAUAAAAAAGGCCGAGCAUUUAAACCUUAAAUGUUGCUGCCCUGAAUGUCUCAAGAAAUAACACCCAGCCCAGAAACUGGUUCCUGGAGCAUAGGUAAGUUUAGAAGUUCGGCGAUGGAUUUUUAUUAUUGUCAAAUUCGUGCACGUUUUUUUUUCAUUUUGUAAUACUUGAAAACUUUUUGCUAUGCAUGUAGCUUUUUGGCAGCAAGAACUACAUAUUAUCACAAAGAAAUGUAAAAUAGGCGGGGAAAUACUGUAGCUAAGAGCACUAUGUAUUGCCAUAACGGUUUUUUUUUUGGGUCCUUCAGCAUUUUUUA